UUAAGCGACUAAGCGUACACGGUGGAUGCCCUGGCAGUCAGAGGCGAUGAAGGACGUGCUAAUCUGCGAUAAGCGUCGGUAAGGUGAUAUGAACCGUUAUAACCGGCGAUUUCCGAAUGGGGAAACCCAGUGUGUUUCGACACACUAUCAUUAACUGAAUCCAUAGGUUAAUGAGGCGAACCGGGGGAACUGAAACAUCUAAGUACCCCGAGGAAAAGAAAUCAACCGAGAUUCCCCCAGUAGCGGCGAGCGAACGGGGAGCAGCCCAGAGCCUGAAUCAGUGUGUGUGUUAGUGGAAGCGUCUGGAAAGGCGUGCGAUACAGGGUGACAGCCCCGUACACAAAAAUGCACAUGCUGUGAGCUCGAUGAGUAGGGCGGGACACGUGGUAUCCUGUCUGAAUAUGGGGGGACCAUCCUCCAAGGCUAAAUACUCCUGACUGACCGAUAGUGAACCAGUACCGUGAGGGAAAGGCGAAAAGAACCCCGGCGAGGGGAGUGAAAAAGAACCUGAAACCGUGUACGUACAAGCAGUGGGAGCACGCUUAGGCGUGUGACUGCGUACCUUUUGUAUAAUGGGUCAGCGACUUAUAUUCUGUAGCAAGGUUAACCGAAUAGGGGAGCCGAAGGGAAACCGAGUCUUAACUGGGCGUUAAGUUGCAGGGUAUAGACCCGAAACCCGGUGAUCUAGCCAUGGGCAGGUUGAAGGUUGGGUAACACUAACUGGAGGACCGAACCGACUAAUGUUGAAAAAUUAGCGGAUGACUUGUGGCUGGGGGUGAAAGGCCAAUCAAACCGGGAGAUAGCUGGUUCUCCCCGAAAGCUAUUUAGGUAGCGCCUCGUGAAUUCAUCUCCGGGGGUAGAGCACUGUUUCGGCAAGGGGGUCAUCCCGACUUACCAACCCGAUGCAAACUGCGAAUACCGGAGAAUGUUAUCACGGGAGACACACGGCGGGUGCUAACGUCCGUCGUGAAGAGGGAAACAACCCAGACCGCCAGCUAAGGUCCCAAAGUCAUGGUUAAGUGGGAAACGAUGUGGGAAGGCCCAGACAGCCAGGAUGUUGGCUUAGAAGCAGCCAUCAUUUAAAGAAAGCGUAAUAGCUCACUGGUCGAGUCGGCCUGCGCGGAAGAUGUAACGGGGCUAAACCAUGCACCGAAGCUGCGGCAGCGACGCUGAUGCGUUGUUGGGUAGGGGAGCGUUCUGUAAGCCUGCGAAGGUGUGCUGUGAGGCAUGCUGGAGGUAUCAGAAGUGCGAAUGCUGACAUAAGUAACGAUAAAGCGGGUGAAAAGCCCGCUCGCCGGAAGACCAAGGGUUCCUGUCCAACGUUAAUCGGGGCAGGGUGAGUCGACCCCUAAGGCGAGGCCGAAAGGCGUAGUCGAUGGGAAACAGGUUAAUAUUCCUGUGCUUGGUGUUACUGCGAAGGGGGGACGGAGAAGGCUAUGUUGGCCGGGCGACGGUUGUCCCGGUUUAAGCGUGUAGGCUGGUUUUCCAGGCAAAUCCGGAAAAUCAAGGCUGAGGCGUGAUGACGAGGCACUACGGUGCUGAAGCAACAAAUGCCCUGCUUCCAGGAAAAGCCUCUAAGCAUCAGGUAACAUCAAAUCGUACCCCAAACCGACACAGGUGGUCAGGUAGAGAAUACCAAGGCGCUUGAGAGAACUCGGGUGAAGGAACUAGGCAAAAUGGUGCCGUAACUUCGGGAGAAGGCACGCUGAUAUGUAGGUGAAGUCCCUCGCGGAUGGAGCUGAAAUCAGUCGAAGAUACCAGCUGGCUGCAACUGUUUAUUAAAAACACAGCACUGUGCAAACACGAAAGUGGACGUAUACGGUGUGACGCCUGCCCGGUGCCGGAAGGUUAAUUGAUGGGGUCAGCGCAAGCGAAGCUCUUGAUCGAAGCCCCGGUAAACGGCGGCCGUAACUAUAACGGUCCUAAGGUAGCGAAAUUCCUUGUCGGGUAAGUUCCGACCUGCACGAAUGGCGUAAUGAUGGCCAGGCUGUCUCCACCCGAGACUCAGUGAAAUUGAACUCGCUGUGAAGAUGCAGUGUACCCG
This 2044-nucleotide ribosomal RNA is filed under the name Escherichia coli. RNAcentral's name for it is "bacterial LSU rRNA". It matches the Rfam family "Bacterial large subunit ribosomal RNA", at positions 1 to 2072 of the family's 2925-position model. The record is from RNAcentral. Lineage: Bacteria; Pseudomonadati; Pseudomonadota; Gammaproteobacteria; Enterobacterales; Enterobacteriaceae.